CUCUCCUUUAUAUAAAAAAAAAAAAAAACUCUCUCUCUCUCUCUCUCUCGUGGCGGCGACGGCUGGGCUAGCGGCCACGCCCUUCGCCGGCGACGAGCACCCACCAGAGCUGAGUAGUUGACCUCCAUUACCCUCCGCCCCUGAUGUCGAGGCUGCGAGCUCUGUGUUAAGCUUCCUUCAACGCCACCAAGAGAGCUCUUGUAUGGAGUUCAGAUUAUCUAAUUCCACCAAGUGAAAGAUAUAUCUUCAAUUUCAACUCAAAAGAUGAGCUGAAACAGUGGCAUUUGUACUCAGAUUCAGAGUAUGGAGAAUAUGUCAAGAAGAUGCUCUGUUACAUUUCUGAAGGUUCACAGUAGAAAAAUGUAUUGCACUUCAAUCCUAUCAUGGUAGGCCCCCACUGUAGUUCUUGGGUACACCAAACACUUUUAGAAUCUCCUAGCCCUGAAUGUUCGUAAUUUACUAUCCUUUGAAAGGAAACAGAUUACAAAAUACUAGUAUACUAUGUAGAAGUAUAGCUAUCCAUCCAUUUGUCCUGUUCUCUCUUUGUUGCCAACAGAUUCUCCUUUUUUUUGUAUCGCCAUGACUUACAUGCAAGGAUUAUAACAAUCAUUAUAGCUGGCUACCUGUUACGGUGAGCCAAAUGGGAAUCUACUACCCCUUACAUUUUUUGCCUACUGGAUACUUGGUAAUGCAUAGACUAGUGUAUUUUGUUGUUAGUUUUGAAAUCAGUGGAUGAAAAGCUAAACAUUUUACACAGGUGAACCUUCCCCUUCUGUAUGAACAGGACUUAAGUAGUUUAGUCUAUUGUGUAGUGAUACAGUUGUGCCUUAAUAUAAUAUAUGACUGGACUUCCUAUUUCCCCUUGUUAAUUCAAUAGACUAUAGUUCUCUACACAGAUAAUACCUUGCGUAUCUAUUAGAUUUGUAUACCUUUUUAUGGCACCUUUUGGCUUUGCUAAUAUCUAGCUUCUUAUUUGCAUCUAUGAUAGAUUGUGAUUGGACAGAGUUGUUAUCCAGGUUUGUCAUCUGCAUCAUUGGAGAUAACUGAUGGCACUGCUGGUGGAGCUACUCCAUUAACUCGUACUAACUGUUAGAAUUGAUUAACUUUCUGGGAUAAGAGAAAGAAUAGUAGUUUCGUUCAUUUAGCAUAAUAAACCUCAUGUACUAUGAAAUGCCUUCUAGUGUUUGUUCUUAGAAACUGAGGCUCUGAGUAAGUCCAUUUUAUCAGUGAAUACCAGCUGCUGCCUUUGCUUUAGUAACUGAAUAGAAAUAUGCAGUUCUUUAA
Long non-coding RNA from Setaria italica (foxtail millet), 1284 nucleotides. RefSeq lists it as uncharacterized. The record is from RefSeq and is a predicted model, not a curated record. The transcript is spliced from 4 exons. Lineage: Eukaryota; Viridiplantae; Streptophyta; Magnoliopsida; Poales; Poaceae.